UGAUCAUUGGGAGCCAAAAGAGCUAUGUGUACCCCUCUCCUGGAGGAAUGGAAUUGAUGGCAGCAAUAAAAAGUGUUUGGCAGCUCCCUGAUCAGCACAAAUACUUGUAAUACUCUGGCCUAUCCGAACACUCAACACAGGAUCACUUAAAGCUGUCUUCAAAUUCUUGUGUUCCUCCUGGAGCUGCAGAAAGCUAUGGAGUUUGGACAGCAUUAUAGCUGGGAUUAACUUCCAAGUUCCUUUGGGGUGCAUCACUUUCUCCGACUGCCUUUCCAACACGCCCAUUUCCCCUCUACACCAGCUACAAAUGAAGACCUGUAAACACAAAAGGCAAUGGUGAAGCCAUGAGUUUUGUCUGGUCAGCUUGAAGCAGGCCCUGUUUGCUUCCUGUAUCUCACUGUGUUCCUGGAACCAUAAUCAGGCCAGGAACCAAUUCCUGCAGCAAAAAGGUAAUGAGAAAAAGCUGUGCCUAACCCCAGAGGGAAGGAGAGAGACAACAGAGAUCACAUCAUGCUAUCGGUGUGCCACCAAACCGGCAAUUGAUGCUAGCGACAAACGGACACGGCAGAUAAAAUCGGAGUCACGCACUGAAGCCUGCCUCUGAAAAGGCUGUGCCUGCCUCUGAUGGAGACCCGGAGCUCUGCUUUCUCUUCGCACCACAACAACGAAUGUGCAGCUUAUCUCUCCCAGCAAAGCACUGAGCAGAACUGCGGGUGAGUGCUGCGCGGGGUGAGCGUGUGCGCAGGUCUGCGUGCUGGAGAACAUUUGUGCGCUCACCUGGGCGGGCAUGAGCGCCCCAGGAGCAUCUCUGUACCUGUGGGAAGCACAGGACUGGAGGUAUCAACCCCUUUGCACCUGCAGCUAGGAGUUAAUAGGAUUAGCCUGAGGUUUUAAAAGAGCUGCUGUUAAAGGCUUUUGUGUUAGCUGAACAUGUGGGUUACUCGUGGCACCUUGCUCUGCAUUCUGGGGGGUUCUGGGGGAAGGAAUCAGAGUGACCGUGUGUACUGAGGAGCUGCUAGAGGGUAUUAUCUUGCCACAGAUGGUGUCAUUCCUGCAAGUAAAGCAACCAAGGGGAACAGGAAUUGGACGUUGAGGUCACAGAAGGAAACAACAUGAGGCACCGCUUACACGCUGGGAGCAAAUAUUAAGGGAUACUAAGGUUUGACUCAUGAG
RNAcentral lists this long non-coding RNA (1173 nucleotides) under Cyanistes caeruleus (blue tit). RNAcentral describes it as "lncRNA (ENSCCEG00000015216.1)". Lineage: Eukaryota; Metazoa; Chordata; Aves; Passeriformes; Paridae. The record is from RNAcentral.